This 282-nucleotide unclassified non-coding RNA is filed under the name Rhizophlyctis rosea. RNAcentral's name for it is "partial internal transcribed spacer region". The stretch from base 1 to 46 matches the Rfam family "Eukaryotic small subunit ribosomal RNA", at positions 1786 to 1831 of the family's 1831-position model. The record is from RNAcentral. Lineage: Eukaryota; Fungi; Chytridiomycota; Chytridiomycetes; Rhizophlyctidales; Rhizophlyctidaceae.
AAGACGUAACAAGGUAACCGUAGGUGAACCUGCGGUUGGAUCAUUAAAAAAGAUUUGGUCUAGUCCCAAAUCAACAACUGUGUGCACCAUUGUCUGUCCUUGGCAGUUCGAGUGCGCUCCUGAGCUCAACACUCUGGGCCUGCCUACUCUGGCUUAGUGCUGGGGUUGGACUGCUGCCUUGAUGAAAAACUUUUUUGUUUUAAUUUUUUUGUCUGAACGAACAGUUAAUCUUUUUGAUUAAUGAUUUGAAUACAACUUUUGACAACGGAUCUCUUGGCUCUC